AGUUCGAUCAUGGCUCAGAUUGGUUCAUGGAUGCUUUACACAUGCAAGUCGAACGGCAGCACGGACUUCGAGUCUGGCGGCGAGUGGUGAACGGGGUGAGAAGGACGAACGUGUGCCUAGUAGCGGGUGGAUAAUCACAAGCAAGCGUAGCCCAAUACCGUAUACGCUCUUCGGGGAAAGCGGGGACCUUCGUGCCCCGCACUAUUAGAGCGGCCGAUAUCGGAUUAGCUAGUUGGUGGUAAAACGCUCACCAAGGCGACGAUCCGUAGCUGGUUUGAGAGGACGACCAGCCACAUCUGGGACUGGAGACACGGCCCAGACUCCUACGGAGGCAGCAGUGGGAAUUUUUGGACAAUGGGGAAACCCUGAUCCAGCCAUCCCGCGUGCGAUGAAGGCCUUCGGGGUUGUAAAGCACUUUUGGCAGGAAAGAAACGGCAUGAUACGUCCCGUGCAACUGACGGUACCUGCAGAAUAAGCACCGGCCAACUACGUGCCAGCAGCCGCAAUACGUAGGGCGCAAGCGUUAAUCGGAAUUACUGGGCGUAAAGCGUGCGCAGGUUCGGAAAGAAAGAUGUGAAAUCCCAGAGCUUAACUUUGGAACUGCAUUUUCUUUAACUACCGAGCGAUGCGUCAGAGGCAGCGGAAUUCGCGUAGUGGCGGAAAUGCGUAGAUAUGCGGAGAACACCGAUGGCGAAGGCAGCCUCCUGGGGGAUAAUACCGGACGCCCAUGCACGAAAGCGAAGAGCAAACAGAUUAGAUACCCCGGUGUCCACGCCUAAACGACAAAUUAGGCUGCUGGGGCUUUCGGGCCUUGGUAGCAAAGCAACGGCGGUGAAGUUGACCGCCUGGGAGUACGGCCUGAUUAAAAACCCGUGAACUGACGGGGACCUGCACAAGCGGUGGAUGAUGUGGAUUAAUUGAUGCAACGCGAAAACCUUACCUACCCUAUUAUGUCUGGAAUCCCGAAGAGAUUUGGGGAGUACGGCAAGAGAACCGGAACAUAGGUGCUGCAUGGCUGUCGUCAGCUCGUGUCGAGAUGUUGGGUUAAGUCCCGCAACGAGCGCAACCCUUGUCAUUAGUUGCUACGAAAGGGCACUCUUAAUGAGACUGCCGGUGACAAACCGAGGAAGGUGGGGAUGACGUCAAAGUCCUCAUGGCCCUUAUGGGUAGGGCUUCACACGUCAUACAUCGGAGUCGGGACAGAGGGUCGCCAACCCGCGAGGGGGAGCCAUCCCCAGAAACCCGAUCGGUAGUCCGGAUCGCAGUCUGCAACUGACUGCGUGAAGUCGGAACUGCUAGUAAUCGCGGAUCAGCAUGUCGCGGUGAAUAUGCCCCGGUCUUGUUACCACCGCCCGUCACACCAUGGGAGUGGGUUUACCAGAAGUAGUUAGCCUAACCGUAAGGAGGGCGAUUACCACGGUAGGAUUCAUGACUGGGUGAAGUCGUAACAAGGCAA
This 1456-nucleotide ribosomal RNA is filed under the name uncultured Bordetella sp. RNAcentral describes it as "partial 16S-23S ribosomal RNA intergenic spacer". It matches the Rfam family "Bacterial small subunit ribosomal RNA". Lineage: Bacteria; Pseudomonadati; Pseudomonadota; Betaproteobacteria; Burkholderiales; Alcaligenaceae. The record is from RNAcentral.